ACUCCUACGGGAGGCAGCAGUGGGGAAUAUUGCACAAUGGGCGCAAGCCUGAUGCAGCCAUGCCGCGUGUGUGAAGAAGGCCUUCGGGUUGUAAAGCACUUUCAGUCGUGAGGAAGGCGGGUACGUUAAUAGCGUAUUCGUUUGACGUUAGCGACAGAAGAAGCACCGGCUAACUCCGUGCCAGCAGCCGCGGUAAUACGGAGGGUGCGAGCGUUAAUCGGAAUUACUGGGCGUAAAGCGCAUGCAGGUGGUUUGUUAAGUCAGAUGUGAAAGCCCGGGGCUCAACCUCGGAAUAGCAUUUGAAACUGGCAGACUAGAGUACUGUAGAGGGGGUAGAAUUUCAGGUGUAGCGGUGAAAUGCGUAGAGAUCUGAAGGAAUACCGGUGGCGAAGGCGGCCCCUGGACAGAUACUGACACUCAGAUGCGAAAGCGUGGGAGCAAACAGGAUUAGAUACCCCGUGGUAGGACAGUG
RNAcentral lists this ribosomal RNA (472 nucleotides) under uncultured bacterium. Its description in RNAcentral is "bacterial SSU rRNA". It matches the Rfam family "Bacterial small subunit ribosomal RNA", at positions 335 to 799 of the family's 1533-position model. The record is from RNAcentral.